Molecule: long non-coding RNA, 1292 nt
Organism: Dreissena polymorpha
Lineage: Eukaryota; Metazoa; Mollusca; Bivalvia; Myida; Dreissenidae
Exons: 3
Source: RefSeq, a predicted model, not a curated record
GAAAACUGAAAGCGAUCAGAAUACAAGAUGGUUCAGACAUAAACAAGUGCUAGCGCUAAGAAAAGACAAAAAAAACAACAAGAGAUGCAAGGUACAGAUGUAAUAAAAGGGAAAGGAUACUAGACAUUGGUAUUCAGUGUGAUCGAUGGAGAAGAGUUAAAGAAGCUACUGGGAUUGAAAAGGACGAGAAAAUGAUGGAAUUAUUGAUCGCUGCAACUACUUCUGCACUAGAGAGCUUCAACAAUCAUCUUUUGAUGUAUGCUCCAAAGCGAAAUGCUUUCAGGGGAAAGAGUGCACUCAAAAGCUGCUGGUAAUUGGAGCAUUAGACCUAUGAAAAAACCCAAGGAGUAUACAUACAUAACGGGUUUGAUCACUGAAGUUACAAAUGAAUUCACCAUAGGCAAGAAAAGAAAAAGUGGCAAAUGUGAACAGCUGUCUGAAGACCCCGAAAGAAUUAGCUCAACUAUAGCCCCUGUCCACCUACAUCGAUACUUAGUGAUCAGCAUGUCUCUAGAUUGAGAAAAGCGAAAAAAAUGAAUUGUUGCACAAGACGUGUUUGAUAUUCAUUUGAAGUUGACGCAGAAGUUAUCUUUGUUAGAUAACUAUUAAGUUUCACAUCUUUAGUGUUAAUAUAAUUUUAGAAGUGUUUUGAAAAUGUACAAUCUUACAUUAUGUUAUAAAUAAUGAAUGCUCUUGGUUGUACAAUGCAAUGACAUUUUUCAGGAAGAUUUAAUAUUGAAUUUAGCAUAAAAUAUUUUUUUAUGUCCCCCACUAUGGUAGUGGGGGACAUAUUGUUUUUUGCCCUGUCUGUUGAUUGGUCUGUUGGUUGGUUGGUUGGUUGGUCUGUUGGUUGGUUUGCACCAACUUUAACAUUUUGCAAUAACUUUUGCUAUAUUGAAGAUAGCAACUUCAUAUUUGGCAUGCAUGUGUAUCUCAUGAAGCUGCACAUUUUGAGUGGUGAAAGGUCAAGGUCAUCCUUCAAGGUCAGAGGUCAAAUAUAUGUGGCCAAAAUCGCUCAUUUUAUGAAUACUUUUGCAAUAUUGAAGAUAGCAACUUCAUAUUUGGCAUGCAUGUUUAUCUUAUGGAGCUGCACAUUUUGAGUGGUGAAAGGUCAAGGUCAUCCUUCAAGGUCAGAGGUCAAAUAUAUGUGGCCCAAAUCGCUAGUUUUAUGAAUACUUUUGCAAUAUUGAAGAUAGCAACUUGAUAUUUGGCAUGCAUGUGUAUCUCAUGGAGCUGCACAUUUUGAGUGGUGAGUGGUGAAAGGUCAAGGUCAUUCUUCAAGGUCAAAUGUA